CUGUAGCCGCGGGAAUACGAAGGGGGCUAGCGUUGUUCGGAUUUACUGGGCGUAAAGGGCGCGUAGGCGGACUGAUAAGUCAGGGGUGAAAUCCCAAGGCUCAACCUUGGAACUGCCUUUGAUACUGUUUGUCUUGAGUUCGAGAGAGGUAAGUGGAACUGCGAGUGUAGAGGUGAAAUUCGUAGAUAUUCGCAAGAACACCAGUGGCGAAGGCGGCUUACUGGCUCGAAACUGACGCUGAGGCGCGAAAGCGUGGGGAGCAAACAGGAUUAGAUACCCCAGUAGUCCCUGUCUCUUAUAC
RNAcentral lists this ribosomal RNA (301 nucleotides) under uncultured bacterium. RNAcentral describes it as "partial 16S ribosomal RNA". It matches the Rfam family "Bacterial small subunit ribosomal RNA", at positions 509 to 807 of the family's 1533-position model. The record is from RNAcentral.